RNAcentral lists this transfer RNA (50 nucleotides) under Henrya insularis. Its description in RNAcentral is "partial tRNA-Leu". Lineage: Eukaryota; Viridiplantae; Streptophyta; Magnoliopsida; Lamiales; Acanthaceae. The record is from RNAcentral.
CGUUUUUGGGGAUAGAGGGACUUGAACCCUCACGAUUUUUAAAGUCAACG